GGUGGGAUGGCAGAGUGGCCUAUUGCGCCGGUCUUGAAAACCGGUGGCGUCAGCCUCCUGGGUUCGAAUCCCAGUCCCACCG
Molecule: transfer RNA, 82 nt
Filed under: Halolamina litorea
Lineage: Archaea; Methanobacteriati; Methanobacteriota; Halobacteria; Halobacteriales; Haloferacaceae
Also listed under: 2 other names
Description: tRNA-Ser
Rfam family: tRNA
About the family: Transfer RNA (tRNA) molecules are approximately 80 nucleotides in length.
Source: RNAcentral